RNAcentral lists this transfer RNA (72 nucleotides) under Ipomoea nil (Japanese morning glory). It matches the Rfam family "tRNA". From Rfam's summary of the family: Transfer RNA (tRNA) molecules are approximately 80 nucleotides in length. Their secondary structure includes four short double-helical elements and three loops (D, anti-codon, and T loops). The record is from Rfam by way of RNAcentral. Lineage: Eukaryota; Viridiplantae; Streptophyta; Magnoliopsida; Solanales; Convolvulaceae.
GCACUUAUGGCCUAAUAUAUAAGGUGUUUGACUUCUAACAAGUAAUUGUGGGUUCGAGUCCCAUUAGGUGUG